RNA transcript from Solanum dulcamara, 1684 nucleotides. RefSeq lists it as uncharacterized. NCBI's taxonomy places the organism in Eukaryota, Viridiplantae, Streptophyta, Magnoliopsida, Solanales, Solanaceae. The transcript is spliced from 8 exons. The record is from RefSeq and is a predicted model, not a curated record.
AACCUAACCCAUCAACAACGCUACUCUCUCUCUGUUCUCUCUCUAAAAAAAUGCAUACCACCUCUCUCUAUCGUCUUCAACCUCCAUUGAUGAAGACUCUUCAACCUCAGUUGAGGAAGAUGAUGAAGACCCUUUUCUAAGGCCCAUAGUGAUUUCUGAAUUUUCCACAAGACUUCAAAUGAGGCAGAAAGCGCAAGAACCAACAGGUAGAAGGGCAAUAAAGGAAAUUAUAUGAAUUUGAAGAACGAAGUGGGUUUGUAGUUUUCUUGAAGUAUGGUAGAAUUAUAUAAUUGUUUUUAAAAAAAUUCCACGUAAAUUUGACUCGUUUCACUUUUCCCUUUUUUGGGUCGAACAAAUCGGGUCAUCGGCUCCGCCACAUCUAACGGCAUGUGCCGCCGCGAAAACGUCGCCGACAAGGUCGCCAUUUAGCUAACUUUUUUCACGACUAUUUAGACCGCCGCCGUGAAUUGCCGCUUGCCGUAUAUUAUUUUUUUUCUGUACUGAAACCAAAUUGUUAGAUCAAUGACGACAAAUGCUAAUUCAAAUCCAAAUCCUGUGAUGUUACCGGAGAUUGGACCAGAUGGCAUCGCCAGAGAAUCACCGGCUAUUGCUUACACUGAAAAGAUAAUUGAAGAAGAACAGCUUCAAUUGAGAAAAUAUAUUGCUGAAAAUUAUUCCAAGAUCCGUGAUGUCGAAAAGGAAUUCGCAAACCUGUCAAUGGAGAUGAAGCUUACUGCUGGGCCCAAAAAAGCAGCACUUGAACUCAUGAGACAGAAGAUAGAAAUGUCAACAGAGAGAAUCCGGGUUGCUAAGCUGAAGGAAGAACAAGCACGAAAGGCUGGGGAAGCAGCAUCACAGGCUGUUAAGGACGAGGAGGCGAUUAAACAAAAGCUUUGUGAGGAUUUGAAUAGUCUGGUUCUGGAGAGUAGUAACAGUCAGCUAGCUAGAUUGGAGGAACUGAAAAAACGGCUGGAAGCUUUGAAUCCAAGUAGAGCAUCCACUGCCUCUGACCAAAGUCCUGUGAGAUCUGUACAAAGCAGUAUGGCUCAAGAUGUUUCCUCAGUAAAGGAUACACUAGAAUCGUUGAGCGGAUCAUCUGGAAAUACAUUGAAAGAAGGAAAUGCUAGAAGUGGUGCAGCAGAAAAUGGACAAAACCAAUCGCAUUCUCUUGAUGAACCAAGAGGUAAGAAGAAAAUCAAUGUACAAGGAAGAGGAAAAGGAAUCGGCAUAAUUCCUAAAGGCCGAGGUUCAGCAGGACCCGGUUGGACUGGAGCUGGGUUUGAUGUGGAUGGAAGAAGUUGAUAGCAGAUUCUCUCACUGUUUAAGUUCAUUGGAAUAAGAAACUUGCUGAUUUCAAUGAGCUCUAAUCUUAAGGAUGUGAAGACCCCAUUAGAUCAUGCGAUCCAAAAGUACCGUUCUUUCGGAUUUGUGACGUUCCUUGAAAGAGAGGAUGCUUCAGUCGCCAUGAACAACAAUUAUACCAAUGAUAAUAUUUUUUUGAUUAAAAAUAAUUGUACAAAAACUAAAGUAAAAUCUAUCUUUAUUCUACUGCUACUUUUGUGCUACAAUUUUUUAUUUUUGUUUAUAGAGGAGUAACUUUUACAGAAACUUGGUAGGUAAAGAAAGGACCAAAAAAUAGGAUAAACAUGUUGGGCAACAAAUAAUAUUUUACUGCUAUUUUUAU